This 305-nucleotide ribosomal RNA is filed under the name uncultured bacterium. Its description in RNAcentral is "partial 16S ribosomal RNA". It matches the Rfam family "Bacterial small subunit ribosomal RNA", at positions 508 to 809 of the family's 1533-position model. The record is from RNAcentral.
ACAGCAGCCGCCGCGGGAAUACGUAGGUGGCAAGCGUUGUCCGGAAUUAUUGGGCGUAAAGCGCGCGCAGGCGGAUAGGUCAGUCUGUCUUAAAAGUUCGGGGCUUAACCCCGUGAUGGGAUGGAAACUGCCAAUCUAGAGUAUCGGAGAGGAAAGUGGAAUUCCUAGUGUAGCGGUGAAAUGCGUAGAUAUUAGGAAGAACACCAGUGGCGAAGGCGACUUUCUGGACGAAAACUGACGCUGAGGCGCGAAAGCCAGGGGAGCAAACAGGAUUAGAUACCCCCGUAGUCCCUGUCUCUUAUACA